UACGAGGGGGGCAAGCGUUGUUCGGAAUUAUUGGGCGUAAAGGGCGCGUAGGCGGUGCGGUAAGUCACCUGUGAAAACUCUGGGCUCAACUCAGAGCCUGCAGGCGAAACUGCCGUGCUUGAGUGUGGGAGAGGUGCGUGGAAUUCCCGGUGUAGCGGUGAAAUGCGUAGAGAUCGGGAAGAACGCCGGCGGCGAAAGCGACUCUCUGGUCGGAAUCUGACGCUGAGGUGCGAAAGCUAGGGGAGCAAACGGG
Molecule: ribosomal RNA, 253 nt
Filed under: uncultured bacterium
Lineage: Bacteria
Description: partial 16S ribosomal RNA
Rfam family: Bacterial small subunit ribosomal RNA
Source: RNAcentral